UGGCUAACUCCUACGGGAGGCAGCAGUGGGGAAUUUUGGACAAUGGGGGCAACCCUGAUCCAGCAAUGCCGCGUGAGUGAAGAAGGCCUUCGGGUUGUAAAGCUCUCUUGUCAGGGAAGAAACGAUAGUAGCUAAUAUCUAUUACUAAUGACGGUACCUGAAGAAUAAGCACCGGCUAACUACGUGCCAGCAGCCGCGCUAAUACGUAGGGUGCAAGCGUUAAUCGGAAUUACUGGGCGUAAAGCGUGCGCAGGCGGUUGUGUAAGUCAGAUGUGAAAUCCCCGGGCUCAACCUGGGAAUUGCAUUUGGGACUGCCAGGCUAGAGUGUGUCAGAGGGGGUUAGAAUUCCACGUGUAGCAGUGAAAUGCGUAGAUCUGUGGAGGAAUACCGAUGGCGAAGGCAGCCCCCUGGGAUAACACUGACGCUCAUGCACGAAAGCGUGGGGAGCAAACAGGAUUAGAAACACCUGUAGUCCAGCUGG
This 481-nucleotide ribosomal RNA is filed under the name uncultured bacterium. Its description in RNAcentral is "bacterial SSU rRNA". It matches the Rfam family "Bacterial small subunit ribosomal RNA", at positions 329 to 803 of the family's 1533-position model. The record is from RNAcentral.